UGUGGAGCUAGGAAGAAGAAAAGAGCUCUCCUCACACAGUGUAGUAUGUAUGGAUGCACUGGUGUGAGCGUUCUUUUUUCUCUUUGAAUGCUUUCUUCUUGCACUAUGUUAUUUGGUGGUGGAUGAUUACUAUGUUACUUGUUUCACUGGAAUGUUAGGCUUUCAGUUGAGAAUCAUUUCAUGGUUUGUAUUUCCAGAUCUAUUCAUUUCUGAAGAUUUUUAUACGAUCUAUUAUAACAUUUGGUGCUUUCUUUUUUCUUUACAUUUUUCAUGGCUGAAUCUACUACUAGAUUUAAGGAUCUUACAGCCAAAAUGGACACAAUAUUAGCAGUUAUGGAUCAGCAUGAGGAACGUAUUAUUAGCUACUAGAGCAAUCUUUUGCCACUAUUUUUAAAUAUAUUGAAAACCAUAAGGCUCAAUCUUCAAACAUUAAUGCUAUGCAGCAGCCACUAUCUCAACCUGUCUCUGAUUUAGCCUCUCCCACAAAACCACGCAAUGCUAUUCCCUUGCCAUUUCAGAUUGACUUUCCAAGGUUUGAUGGUUCUUCAAACCCCUUGCACUGGAUGGAUAUUCAAGGCGGAACAAUUCUUUGACUUGUAUGAUAUUACCGAUCCUGAUCGAGUGAAUAUCGCGGCUAUUCAUAUGAUAUGGAGGGUGAGGUGAUUCCUUGGUUUCAGUUGUGGGAGAAAUGUGAGGAGUUUGUUUCAUGGUCUUCCUUGGCUAAAGCACUGAAACUUGCUUAUGGUCCUUCUCUUUUUGAGUCUCCAAGAUAUGCUUUGUUCAAGCUACAACAGAAGGAUACUGUUUCCAAUUACUAUUUCUCAUUCAUUGAUCUUGCCAGUCAGGUUGAGAGAUUAUCUUCUGCGGCUUUAGUUGAUUGCUUUGUCAGUGGACUUGAGAGGGAAAUCCAGAGGGAUGUCAUUCUAUGGCAGCCGGAAUCUCUUACAAAAGCAGUGGACUUGGCGAAGUUUUUUGAAGAAAAAUACCAGCUUCAUACACAGCCUCAUACUUCUUAAAUCAAGUAUAUUUUUUAUUAUCAAAUUGUGAUCGUUUUCUAAUGUUAAGUUCCGAUUAAUGUCAAUGUCAUAGAGAAUGCAUUGGCGGAACUUGAGAGGUUACUCCUCAUAUAUGAAGCUUCAAGGGAUUGGUUGGUGAGGUUUUGCCUGCGGGCUUUUGAUUCCACAUCCUUUCAACUGAAUUGGGAUCUGGGCAAUAUGUUAUUUCAUAGUGUUGCUGAGAUUUUUUUUGCUGGAAAGUACUCAUUGAUGUAAUUCUGUGAUGAUGAUUGUCUGCUAGCCUGCUCUUGGCCAAACCAAAGUAGAUCUUUUAUUUUUGAGUUGCUCAUUUUGUUUGAUUUUUCUGGAAAUGGGACUUGCUUUGUUUUUUCAAACUCAUAAUGCAAAACAGAUGAGCUUCUACUUGGAACAGUUCGCCCCUCUGUUAUUAUUAGAAAAUGAAUGAGCUCAAAUGCAAAGGAGCUUGAUUGCCUCUAACAAUUUGGCUCUAUGUUGGAAUUUAGAUGAAUCCUGCCAUAUUUCAAAACUUCAUGUAUGGCAAAUUGUUUCACGCUGGGGAGACAUGCUACCAUUAUAAGGAUAUUGAUGAUGUGAUCAUAUGUAGGCAUGCACCAUGUUACUUAACUAGAUUUCCAACAAUAGGUUCAGUCGCAUCUGUUGUUGUUAUGCUUGUACUUUUUCCAGCUGAUCCACCGAUAAUGGCAUACACUUGCCACAAAAGGACAAUGCAGACAACCUAAUGCAGAUAAUUCUUUCAACAAUUUUUUAUGUUUUUUUUUUAUGGCAGUCUACAAUCGGUGGAGAGACAGACACCAAUGUGUGUUGCCACUAUUGAGUUCGUUGAUCCAUGGGCACCUGUGAUGGUUGCCAGACAAGUUUCCUGAGGGAUCUCAUGUGAUGAUUGUUGGCUUGCAAUUGGCAUAUUUUAUAUUUCAAUUGAUUUAAUGCUUAUGUCCCUUCCAUCUUAUUUAGCCCAUGGACCACAACCAUUGUUUGUCAGAGGUUUAUCAUCCGGGGAUUGGGAGAUCCAGGAGACGCAGUUUUGGUACUUGAAGUUUGGCGCGUUCUUUUUUGCCGUACUAU
Dioscorea cayenensis subsp. rotundata (Guinea yam) is the source of this 2099-nucleotide long non-coding RNA. RefSeq lists it as uncharacterized. The record is from RefSeq and is a predicted model, not a curated record. NCBI's taxonomy places the organism in Eukaryota, Viridiplantae, Streptophyta, Magnoliopsida, Dioscoreales, Dioscoreaceae. The transcript is spliced from 3 exons.